This 450-nucleotide ribosomal RNA is filed under the name uncultured prokaryote. RNAcentral's name for it is "bacterial SSU rRNA". It matches the Rfam family "Bacterial small subunit ribosomal RNA", at positions 355 to 796 of the family's 1533-position model. The record is from RNAcentral.
UAGGGAAUAUUGCGCAAUGGCCGAAAGGCUGACGCAGCGACGCCGCGUGUGGGAGGACGCCUUUCGGGGUGUAAACCACUGUCAGGGGGGAAGAAACCCGGAGUAGAGAAUACCUGCUCUGGCUGACGGUACCCCCAGAGGAAGCGCCGGCUAACUCCGUGCCAGCAGCCGCGGUAAGACGGAGGGCGCAAGCGUUGUUCGGAAUUACUGGGCGUAAAGCGCGCGCAGGCGGUUUCUUAAGUCCACUGUGAAACUCCGGGGCUCAACCCCGGACAUGCAGUGGAUACUGGGAGACUAGAGAUCGGUAGAGGCUAGCGGAAUUCCUGGUGUAGCGGUGGAAUGCGUAGAUAUCAGGAAGAACACCGGUGGCGAAGGCGGCUAGCUGGGCCGAAUCUGACGCUCAGGUGCGAAAGCGUGGGGAGCAAACAGGAUUAGAUACCCCCGUAGUCC